This 253-nucleotide ribosomal RNA is filed under the name uncultured bacterium. RNAcentral describes it as "partial 16S ribosomal RNA". It matches the Rfam family "Bacterial small subunit ribosomal RNA", at positions 524 to 776 of the family's 1533-position model. The record is from RNAcentral.
UACAGAGGUCCCGAGCGUUGUUCGGAUUUACUGGGCGUAAAGGGUGCGUAGGUGGCGAAUUAAGUCGGGUGUGAAAUCUCCGGGCUCAACCCGGAGACUGCGCCCGAUACUGGUUUGCUCGAGGAUGGGAGGGGAGACUGGAAUUCUCGGUGUAGCAGUGAAAUGCGUAGAUAUCGAGAGGAACACCGGUGGCGAAGGCGAGUCUCUGGACCAUUCCUGACACUGAGGCACGAAAGCCGGGGGAGCAAACAGG